RNAcentral lists this ribosomal RNA (647 nucleotides) under Globigerinoides ruber albus. RNAcentral describes it as "SSU rRNA". It matches the Rfam family "Eukaryotic small subunit ribosomal RNA", at positions 1207 to 1575 of the family's 1831-position model. Lineage: Eukaryota; Foraminifera; Rotaliida; Globigerinidae. The record is from RNAcentral.
GGGAAAUCUUACCGGGUCCGGACGUAUCGAGGAUUGACAGAUAGUUAUACAUGCCCUACAAGCAAGUAGGAGUCAGGUUUUAAACCUAAUGGCUCUUUCAUGAUUAUAUGAUAGGUGGUGCAUGGCCGUUCUUAGUUCGUGGAGUGAUCUGUCUGCUUAAUUGCGUUUCAAAUUUUUAACCGAGGACCGGGUUUUGGUUUGGCUAGUGGUCCUACGAUGACUGUGAACUGUCAUGUCUUCGGAUGUACGACUAUCGGUCUAGGAUCACAUGACUUGCCCCUGGGACUCUUUUGAACGCAACGGACGUGAUUGCAACCCCUUGUUGAGAUUAGAGAUAGUCUCGAUAUUCACUGGCCAAACUGGCUGCUUUAUGCAGUCUUGUUGAAUGGUGGAUAAACUCGGGGGACUGCUGACUAUAACCAUUUCUCAAAACAGAGGAAGGUUGCGGCAAUAACAGGUCUGUGAUGCCCUCAGAUGUCCCGGGCUGCACACGUGCUACAAUGAGUGGCGCAAUGUGCUAAUGUUUUAAGGGAUAAGCGUGCGGCCAGUAAACGUCGGCAAUUGCCCUGGCGUCUUCUACCGCACGAUUAUCAGCCUUCCCUUAACAGGGCGGGCAACCUUUUCAAAAUACCGGUUUGAUGUUAAAG